RNAcentral lists this ribosomal RNA (461 nucleotides) under uncultured bacterium. RNAcentral describes it as "bacterial SSU rRNA". It matches the Rfam family "Bacterial small subunit ribosomal RNA", at positions 28 to 463 of the family's 1533-position model. The record is from RNAcentral.
GACGAACGCUGGCGGCGUGCUUAACACAUGCAAGUCGAACGAAAAGACGGAAAGAGCUUGCUCUUUUCAGAAUUGAGUGGCAAACGGGUGAGUAACACGUAAACAACCUGCCUUCAGGAUGGGGACAACAGACGGAAACGACUGCUAAUACCGAAUAAGUUCCAAGGGCCGCAUGGCCCAUGGAAGAAAAGGUGGCCUCUACCUGUAAGCUAUCGCCUGAAGAGGGGUUUGCGUCUGAUUAGCUGGUUGGAGGGGUAACGGCCCACCAAGGCGACGAUCAGUAGCCGGUCUGAGAGGAUGAACGGCCACACUGGAACUGAGACACGGUCCAGACUCCUACGGGAGGCAGCAGUGGGGAAUCUUCCGCAAUGGGCGAAAGCCUGACGGAGCGACGCCGCGUGAGUGAUGACGGCCUUCGGGUUGUAAAACUCUGUGAUCCGGGACGAAAAGGCAGAGUGCGA